RNAcentral lists this ribosomal RNA (437 nucleotides) under uncultured Lachnospiraceae bacterium. Its description in RNAcentral is "partial 16S ribosomal RNA". It matches the Rfam family "Bacterial small subunit ribosomal RNA", at positions 341 to 792 of the family's 1533-position model. Lineage: Bacteria; Bacillati; Bacillota; Clostridia; Lachnospirales; Lachnospiraceae. The record is from RNAcentral.
ACGGAAGGCAGCAGUGGGGAAUAUUGCACAAUGGGGGAAACCCUGAUGCAGCGACGCCGCGUGAGUGAAGAAGUAUUUCGGUAUGUAAAGCUCUAUCAGCAGGGAAGAAAACAAUGACGGUACCUGACUAAGAAGCCCCGGCUAACUACGUGCCAGCAGCCGCGGUAAUACGUAGGGGGCAAGCGUUAUCCGGAUUUACUGGGUGUAAAGGGAGCGUAGACGGUGAGGCAAGUCUGAAGUGAAAGCCCGGGGCUCAACCCCGGGACUGCUUUGGAAACUGUCUGACUAGAGUGCAGGAGAGGUAAGUGGAAUUCCUAGUGUAGCGGUGAAAUGCGUAGAUAUUAGGAGGAACACCAGUGGCGAAGGCGGCUUACUGGACGAUAACUGACGUUGAGGCUCGAAAGCGUGGGGAGCAAACAGGAUUAGAUACCCUGGUA